This 410-nucleotide ribosomal RNA is filed under the name uncultured bacterium. Its description in RNAcentral is "bacterial SSU rRNA". It matches the Rfam family "Bacterial small subunit ribosomal RNA", at positions 28 to 431 of the family's 1533-position model. The record is from RNAcentral.
GACGAACGCUGGCGGCGCGCUUAACACAUGCAAGUCGAGCGAGAACCGGGGCUUCGGCCCCGGGGACAGCGGCGAACGGGUGAGUAACACGUGGAUAACCUGCCCUCGGCACCGGGAUAGCCCGGGGAAACCCGGAUUAAUACCGGAUGGCCCUUCCGACUUUCGAGUCGGUCGGCAAAGGUAGCUUCGGCCUCCGGCCGAGGAUGGGUCCGCGGCGGAUUAGCUUGUUGGUGGGGUAAUGGCCUACCAAGGCUCCGAUCCGUAGCUGGUCUGAGAGGACGAUCAGCCACACUGGGACUGAGACACGGCCCAGACUCCUACGGGAGGCAGCAGUGGGGAAUCUUGCGCAAUGGGCGAAAGCCUGACGCAGCGACGCCGCGUGAGGGACGACGGCCUUCGGGUUGUAAACC